GACGAACGCUGCCGGCGUGCUUAACACAUGCAAGUCGAACGGUAAGGCCCUUCGGGGUACACGAGUGGCGAACGGGUGAGUAACACGUGGGUGAUCUGCCCUGCACUUCGGGAUAAGCCUGGGAAACUGGGUCUAAUACCGGAUAGGACCACUGCCUGCAGGGAUGGGGGUGGAAAGCUUUUGCGGUGUGGGAUGGGCCCGCGGCCUAUCAGGUUGUUGGUGGGGUGAUGGCCUACCAAGGCGACGACGGGUAGCCGGCCUGAGAGGGUGACCGGCCACACUGGGACUGAGAUACGGCCCAGACUCCUACGGGAGGCAGCAGUGGGGAAUAUUGCACAAUGGGCGCAAGCCUGAUGCAGCGACGCCGCGUGAGGGAUGACGGCCUUUGGGUUGUAAACCUCUUUCAGCACCGACGAAGCGCAAGUGACGGUAGGUGCAGAAGAAGGACCGGCCAACUACGUGCCAGCCGCCGCCGUAA
RNAcentral lists this ribosomal RNA (478 nucleotides) under uncultured bacterium. RNAcentral describes it as "partial 16S ribosomal RNA". It matches the Rfam family "Bacterial small subunit ribosomal RNA", at positions 28 to 523 of the family's 1533-position model. The record is from RNAcentral.